AUAAUUUGUUUUCUUUUAUAUUAAAGAGAGAAAAAUUGACAUUUUUACUGAUGAGUCUCUUUUGGAGUUUUCCCCUAGGAUUCAUCUGAUGAAAAAUCCUUUAUUAGGAAAAUGCAUCCUAGGAAGGCCACACUGUCAGCUUAUAAGGAAGCUCUGCCAUGGGGCUGAGGGAAAUACGAAGGCUUCGGUUGGUCUCAGAUCAUCAGGCUUUGGGGAACAGGAGCAGUUACAAAAUACUCUGACGCAGGAGUAAUUAGAAAACGUAUUAACCCAGCCAAAAAGGAGGGGUCAAGGUUCUCCCCCAAGGAAGGGCAGGCAGUAACACAAAACAGACGAACACAGACUCCCAAUGCGGUGCACUUCUGGGAGGAUCAGCCCUCAGGCCCAGCCCCAGGAUGAGAGCCGGCUCCUCGGUUUCACCGCCCUCAAACGCCCUCGACUGUGGAAUGAACGAGACUCACUGGUACCCGUUUUCAAGGCCAGCUCAGCAGUACGGGUCAUAUGAAGUCCCUGUGAAGUCCUCGUGAAAGACGGCCAGGAGAUUUAAA
Long non-coding RNA from Gorilla gorilla gorilla (western lowland gorilla), 548 nucleotides. RefSeq lists it as uncharacterized. The transcript has 3 exons. The record is from RefSeq and is a predicted model, not a curated record. Lineage: Eukaryota; Metazoa; Chordata; Mammalia; Primates; Hominidae.